This 66-nucleotide transfer RNA is filed under the name Stylotermes sp. CN14. RNAcentral describes it as "tRNA-Pro". The record is from RNAcentral. Lineage: Eukaryota; Metazoa; Arthropoda; Insecta; Blattodea; Stylotermitidae.
CAGGGGGUAUUUUAAUGUAAAAUGUCAGUUUUGGGGAUUGGUGAUGUAGUGUUUCUAUUCCCUUGA